RNAcentral lists this non-coding RNA (102 nucleotides) under Lysinibacillus odysseyi. Its description in RNAcentral is "Guanine sequence". It matches the Rfam family "Purine riboswitch aptamer". Rfam says of the family: Riboswitches are metabolite binding domains within certain messenger RNAs that serve as precision sensors for their corresponding targets. Allosteric rearrangement of mRNA structure is mediated by ligand binding, and this results in modulation of gene expression. The record is from RNAcentral. RNAcentral also lists the same sequence under 1 other name. Lineage: Bacteria; Bacillati; Bacillota; Bacilli; Caryophanales; Bacillaceae.
AAUCAUUAAUAGGUGUGCCUUCAUAUAAGUCCGAUAAUACGGUUCGGAUGUCUCUACUAAGUUACCUUAAAUAACUUAUCUAUGACGGUAGGCCGGCGUAUA